RNAcentral lists this non-coding RNA (33 nucleotides) under Vibrio phage 1.161.O._10N.261.48.C5. The record is from RNAcentral. Lineage: Duplodnaviria; Heunggongvirae; Uroviricota; Caudoviricetes.
CAUGACGGUGAUAUUGGUAUCGAAGAUUAUUAC